AUUGAACGCUGGCGGCACGCUUAACACAUGCAAGUCGAACGGUAGCAGGUUAAUGCUUCGGUAUUAAUGCUGACGAGUGGCGGACGGGUGAGUAACACGUAGGAAUCUGUCUUAUAGAGGGGGAAACGAAGGGGAACGUACCUCGCUAAUACCGCGUAAGCCCUCGAGGGGGAAAGGACUGGGGAGGCCUGAGAGGGUCCGU
Molecule: ribosomal RNA, 202 nt
Filed under: uncultured bacterium
Lineage: Bacteria
Description: partial 16S ribosomal RNA
Rfam family: Bacterial small subunit ribosomal RNA
Source: RNAcentral